RNAcentral lists this ribosomal RNA (161 nucleotides) under uncultured bacterium. RNAcentral's name for it is "partial 16S rRNA". It matches the Rfam family "Bacterial small subunit ribosomal RNA", at positions 358 to 511 of the family's 1533-position model. The record is from RNAcentral.
GGAAUCUUCGGCAAUGGACGAAAGUCUGACCGAGCAACGCCGCGUGAGUGAAGAAGGUUUUCGGAUCGUAAAACUCUGUUGUUAGAGAAGAACAAGGAUGAGAGUAACUGUUCAUCCCUUGACGGUAUCUAACCAGAAAGCCACGGCUAACUACGUGCCCG